AACCCUCGAUCCCCAAUUCAGUCUCCUGCCACUCCACCGCCGCCGCCACCAUCGCCCUGUCCAACGCCACCAUCGUCCGGUCCACUGCCGCCUCCACCAUCGUCCGGUCCAUCGCCGCAGCCGCCGCCAGACCAUCCUCCAGUCCACCGCCGCUGCUGCCUCCCCUUCCCGCGGAAGGCCGUUCUUCCGCCCGCAUCUGCCUCACCACCGGCGUAGCGCUGGUCUCCACCUCGCCACCCGCCGGAGCACCAGCACCCGCCUCCCCACCGAGCUCCCGUACUAGUCCCCCCAUUCGACUUUACACAUCUUCACCUCUGGCUGUCCGUACUCCUCUGCUCGCUGCAUCACAAGCCCUCUGUCUUCUUAUCUCUGAAACAUCGGCAAACAGCUAGGGGAGUUGGCUAGCCACCCUUUUCGACGCCGUAAUUUCCCAGCUUGAACAAGUAUAUUGCGGGUUUUAAAAGAGGAGUUAGCUUCCAGCAAAGGAAGAUUUUUGGGCUUAAAAGUCAUGAUUACCAUAUCUUCAUGGAACGGCUGCUACCAGUUGCAUUUCGUGGCUUCAUUCCGGAGUGGUACGAUUACUAUCAUGAUUCGACUCUAGAUUUUCAGCAGCGGACAGCCGCAGAUCGUGUGAAGGAAGAGUUUUGGAACUUGUUUGAGCUGCAUGUGGAUGACGAGGAAGAUGACAAUGCCCGAAUCCAAAUUGAGCAAGAGGCUAACCGGAUUAUUGACACAUAUGCAAGGAAAAAGGUGAAAGACAUGUUGUACCAACUUCGUGUGGAUGCUGUGAAGCUUUACUAUGAGAAUCAAGGAGAGAAGCUUGAUGACUCGAUGGCUUGUGCAAGAGAACUCGAAUAUGAGCAAUACCUCCAGAGUAGGAUACCAUGGUGCAAGGAAGUUGCAUGGCCUGGACUAUGUCGUUAUUGGACAUCAAAGGAAUACAAGACCAACAGGGGGAGGGGACGAGAAGCUCGCUUGAAAUCUGAGGAUAUUGCUCAAAACCGAUGGGGCUAUUAAGAAAGCAGAUAUUAAAUCAGCAGCUAGAAAAAGAAAUGCUAGUGCAUCAAUUUCGCUCACAUUCGAGAGAAGGAACAACUCAGGCGUGUUAAUGAAGAAAAUGCAGAACUCAGGCGUGCUAAGGAGAUGCUACAGCAGAAAGUAGAUAUGCAUGGGCAGCUCAUAACUGCACUUUUCAAGGAGAUAGGAAAAGAGUUGCCGGCUCAUAUACUACAUAUACUAAGCCAUGGAGCUGUUUCGCAACCAGAAGGGACAAAUAACUCAUCUCAAGCCGGCUCGCAAGCGGUUGAUGGCAACAAUGAUGUCAUGGAGUCAAGCGAGGAGGAUGAAGCCGCUGGGAAUGUCGGCGAUCAGACCGUUGACGCAGCCAACCAUGGCGGAAACUGAUUGCUCAAUCAACAUGAUAACAUCAGACUAUAUGUGGUCGUAAUAUGCUCUUUUGUGGACUUGUGUAUCUGGUAUGGCUUAGGAAUGAGAACUAAGAUCUGGUGGUAGUUGCAAGCCGGCGUAUUUUGCUAGUAUUGUUGUAGUUGGCAGAUCCUUUUGUGGAUGGUACCUUUGUAGCCUUGUAGUGUAUGUAUGGAACUGAUGUUGAUACAUCUGGUGGUAGUUGCAAGCCGGUGUAUUUUGCUAGUAUUAUUGUAGUUAGCAGAUCCUUUUGUGGAUGGUACCUUUGUAGCCUUGUAGUGUAAUUAUAUACGUAUGGAACUGAUGAUGCUAUAUGAAGUUUGAUGUUGUCAUAUAAAUAUAUUCU
Molecule: long non-coding RNA, 1771 nt
Organism: Triticum dicoccoides
Lineage: Eukaryota; Viridiplantae; Streptophyta; Magnoliopsida; Poales; Poaceae
Exons: 6
Source: RefSeq, a predicted model, not a curated record